Molecule: ribosomal RNA, 460 nt
Filed under: uncultured bacterium
Lineage: Bacteria
Description: partial 16S ribosomal RNA
Rfam family: Bacterial small subunit ribosomal RNA
Source: RNAcentral
CCUACGGGAGACAGCAGUGAGGAAUAUUUGUCAAUGGCCGUAAGCCUGAACCAGCCAAGUCGCGUGAAGGAAGAAGGAUCUAUGGUUUGUAAACUUCUUUUAUAGGGAAAUAACGGUAUCCUCGUGUGCAUCUUUACAUUUACUCUAUGAAUCAGCAUCGGCUAACUCCGUGCCAGCAGCCGCGGUAAUACGGAGGGUCCGGGCGUUAUCCGGAUUUCUUGGGUUUAAAGUGAGCGUAGGCCUCAUGUCAAGCGUGCUGUGAAAUGUCCGGGCUCAACCCGGGCAGUGCAGCGGGAACUGGCGUGCUGGAGUACGGGGAAGGCAGGCGGAAUUCGUGGUGUAGCGGUGAAAUGCUUAGAUAUGACGAAGAACACCGAUUGCGAAGGCAGCUUGCUGCAGCGGAACUGACGCUGAUGCUCGAAAGCGUGGGUAUCGAACAGGAUUAGAUACCCCGGUAGUC